This is a long non-coding RNA of Cyprinus carpio (common carp), 323 nucleotides long. RefSeq lists it as uncharacterized. The record is from RefSeq and is a predicted model, not a curated record. NCBI's taxonomy places the organism in Eukaryota, Metazoa, Chordata, Actinopteri, Cypriniformes, Cyprinidae. The transcript is spliced from 3 exons.
UUAUUGAUACGCAGUCGGGUUUUUUUUUUACACAUUAAUCUGAAAAUGAAUGUGGCAUACCCUGUUUUUAAAAUGUACAUCCAGAUACUCUUUUCUGGCUAUGUGGACUCAAUAUGAUCAUAACUCAGUUGUUUUCAUAUCAGAGCACAGAUGAGGUGGAGCUGCUUCAGAACAGAGAGGGUGAGAUAGGGAAAAGCAGCAGCAGCACAACGUUACAGAGAACAGAUGAGGUGAAGCUGCUUAAAGACAGGGAGGGUGAGACAGGGAGAAGUAGCUCAGAGUUGCAGGUGAGACAGGGAACAGGCGCAAGCGAAGAAGUGCAG